AGAGUUUGAUCCUGGCUCAGGAUGAACGCUGGCGGCGUGCCUAACACAUGCAAGUCGAGCGAGGGUUUGCUCAGUAUUGAGUAUUCUAAAACUAGAAUGUUCAAUUCUGAGCAAAACCAAGCGGCGGACGGGUGAGUAACGCGUGGGUAACCUGCCCUAUACACAUGGAUAACAUACUGAAAAGUUUACUAAUACAUGAUAAUAUAUAUUUGCGGCAUCGCAGAUAUAUCAAAGUGUUAGCGGUAUAGGAUGGACCCGCGUCUGAUUAGCUAGUUGGUGAGAUAACUGCCCACCAAGGCGACGAUCAGUAGCCGACCUGAGAGGGUGAUCGGCCACAUUGGAACUGAGACACGGUCCAAACUCCUACGGAAGGCAGCAGUGGGGAAUAUUGCACAAUGGGCGGAAGCCUGAUGCAGCAACGCCGCGUGAACGAUGAAGGUCUUCGGAUCGUAAAGUUCUGUUGCAGGGGAAGAUAAUGACGGUACCCUGUGAGGAAGCCCCGGCUAACUACGUGCCAGCAGCCGCGGUAAUACGUAGGGGGCUAGCGUUAUCCGGAUUUACUGGGCGUAAAGGGUGCGUAGGUGGUCCUUCAAGUCGGUGGUUAAAGGCUACGGCUCAACCGUAGUAAGCCGCCGAAACUGGAGGACUUGAGUGCAGGAGAGGAAAGUGGAAUUCCCAGUGUAGCGGUGAAAUGCGUAGAUAUUGGGAGGAACACCAGUAGCGAAGGCGGCUUUCUGGACUGCAACUGACACUGAGGCACGAAAGCGUGGGUAGCAAACAGGAUUAGAUACCCUGGUAGUCCACGCUGUAAACGA
RNAcentral lists this ribosomal RNA (815 nucleotides) under uncultured bacterium. Its description in RNAcentral is "bacterial SSU rRNA". It matches the Rfam family "Bacterial small subunit ribosomal RNA", at positions 8 to 809 of the family's 1533-position model. The record is from RNAcentral.